GCUCUCCGAUCCGCUGCCAGUUGCCGAGCCUGCCGUCCCCUCCUUGCAGCGUAAGACCAGCAAAAAGCGAACUGUCUCGCCAAGAUAGAGAUUGCUGCGGCGCGGGAGGGUCCGAUACCUGGCCGGGUCUGACAGAUUGAUACUCCGAAGAAUCGCAAUUUCGUUUCAGUCCCUUCAUUUUUAGACGGACCCAGCUUGAUGCAAGGAUGCUGGCUCUCAUCACCAGGAACCGCAAGAACCCACCCACCCCCCACGUCACCAGACCUCAGUUCUGCCCUCGGAUCCCUUCCCGGUUCCUGAC
Molecule: long non-coding RNA, 301 nt
Organism: Brienomyrus brachyistius
Lineage: Eukaryota; Metazoa; Chordata; Actinopteri; Osteoglossiformes; Mormyridae
Exons: 3
Source: RefSeq, a predicted model, not a curated record